RNAcentral lists this ribosomal RNA (253 nucleotides) under uncultured bacterium. RNAcentral's name for it is "partial 16S ribosomal RNA". It matches the Rfam family "Bacterial small subunit ribosomal RNA", at positions 524 to 776 of the family's 1533-position model. The record is from RNAcentral.
UACGUAGGGUCCGAGCGUUGUCCGGAAUUAUUGGGCGUAAAGGGCUCGUAGGCGGUCUGUCGCGUCGGGAGUGAAAUUUUACAGCUUAACUGUGAACGUGCUUUCGAUACGGGCAGACUUGAGGUAUUCAGGGGAGAACGGAAUUCCUGGUGUAGCGGUGAAAUGCGCAGAUAUCAGGAGGAACACCGGUGGCGAAGGCGGGUCUCUGGGCCGAUAUUGACGCUGAGGAGCGAAAGCGUGGGGAGCAAACGGG